Molecule: regulatory RNA element, 130 nt
Organism: Zostera marina
Lineage: Eukaryota; Viridiplantae; Streptophyta; Magnoliopsida; Alismatales; Zosteraceae
Rfam family: TPP riboswitch aptamer (THI element)
About the family: Vitamin B(1) in its active form thiamin pyrophosphate (TPP) is an essential coenzyme that is synthesised by coupling of pyrimidine and thiazole moieties in bacteria. The previously detected thiamin-regulatory element, thi box was extended, resulting in a new, highly conserved RNA secondary structure, the THI element, which is widely distributed in eubacteria and also occurs in some archaea. Analysis of operon structures identified a large number of new candidate thiamin-regulated genes, mostly transporters, in various prokaryotic organisms.
Source: Rfam
AACCAGCACCGGGGGUGCUUGCUCCAUCCAUGCCUCUCUGGCCUUUAGAGAAAAUUGGAAGCAGGCUGAGACAGUCCCUUUGAACCUGAUCAGGGUAAUGCCUGCGCAGGGAGUGUGCUUUUUUCUUCCA